AGAGUUUGAUCAUGGCUCAGAUUGAACGCUGGCGGCAGGCCUAACACAUGCAAGUCGAACGGUAACAGGAAUCAGCUUGCUGAUUCGCUGACGAGUGGCGGACGGGUGAGUAAUGUCUGGGAAACUGCCUGAUGGAGGGGGAUAACUACUGGAAACGGUAGCUAAUACCGCAUAAUGUCGCAAGACCAAAGAGGGGGACCUUCGGGCCUCUUGCCAUCGGAUGUGCCCAGAUGGGAUUAGCUUGUUGGUGGGGUAACGGCUCACCAAGGCGACGAUCCCUAGCUGGUCUGAGAGGAUGACCAGCCACACUGGAACUGAGACACGGUCCAGACUCCUACGGGAGGCAGCAGUGGGGAAUAUUGCACAAUGGGCGCAAGCCUGAUGCAGCCAUGCCGCGUGUAUGAAGAAGGCCUUCGGGUUGUAAAGUACUUUCAGCGGGGAGGAAGGGAGUAAAGUUAAUACCUUUGCUCAUUGACGUUACCCGCAGAAGAAGCACCGGCUAACUCCGUGCCAGCAGCCGCGGUAAUACGGAGGGUGCAAGCGUUAAUCGGAAUUACUGGGCGUAAAGCGCACGCAGGCGGUUUGUUAAGUCAGAUGUGAAAUCCCCGGGCUCAACCUGGGAACUGCAUCUGAUACUGGCAAGCUUGAGUCUCGUAGAGGGGGGUAGAAUUCCAGGUGUAGCGGUGAAAUGCGUAGAGAUCUGGAGGAAUACCGGUGGCGAAGGCGGCCCCCUGGACGAAGACUGACGCUCAGGUGCGAAAGCGUGGGGAGCAAACAGGAUUAGAUACCCUGGUAGUCCACGCCGUAAACGAUGUCGACUUGGAGGUUGUGCCCUUGAGGCGUGGCUUCCGGAGCUAACGCGUUAAGUCGACCGCCUGGGGAGUACGGCCGCAAGGUUAAAACUCAAAUGAAUUGACGGGGGCCCGCACAAGCGGUGGAGCAUGUGGUUUAAUUCGAUGCAACGCGAAGAACCUUACCUGGUCUUGACAUCCACGGAAGUUUUCAGAGAUGAGAAUGUGCCUUCGGGAACCGUGAGACAGGUGCUGCAUGGCUGUCGUCAGCUCGUGUUGUGAAAUGUUGGGUUAAGUCCCGCAACGAGCGCAACCCUUAUCCUUUGUUGCCAGCGGUCCGGCCGGGAACUCAAAGGAGACUGCCAGUGAUAAACUGGAGGAAGGUGGGGACGACGUCAAGUCAUCAUGGCCCUUACGACCAGGGCUACACACGUGCUACAAUGGCGCAUACAAAGAGAAGCGACCUCGCGAGAGCAAGCGGACCUCAUAAAGUGCGUCGUAGUCCGGAUUGGAGUCUGCAACUCGACUCCAUGAAGUCGGAAUCGCUAGUAAUCGUGGAUCAGAAUGCCACGGUGAAUACGUUCCCGGGCCUUGUACACACCGCCCGUCACACCAUGGGAGUGGGUUGCAAAAGAAGUAGGUAGCUUAACCUUCGGGAGGGCGCUUACCACUUUGUGAUUCAUGACUGGGGUGAAGUCGUAACAAGGUAACCGUAGGGGAACCUGCGGUUG
This 1522-nucleotide ribosomal RNA is filed under the name Shigella boydii. RNAcentral's name for it is "bacterial SSU rRNA". It matches the Rfam family "Bacterial small subunit ribosomal RNA". The record is from RNAcentral. RNAcentral also lists the same sequence under 6 other names. Lineage: Bacteria; Pseudomonadati; Pseudomonadota; Gammaproteobacteria; Enterobacterales; Enterobacteriaceae.